Long non-coding RNA from Apodemus sylvaticus (European woodmouse), 1649 nucleotides. RefSeq lists it as uncharacterized. The record is from RefSeq and is a predicted model, not a curated record. The transcript is spliced from 5 exons. NCBI's taxonomy places the organism in Eukaryota, Metazoa, Chordata, Mammalia, Rodentia, Muridae.
UCUCCAUGCUCGAAGCAGGUUAACGUCCAUUUUUCUCUCCAGCAUAUUUCUUUCCUAACGGGUUACAACUGCAGGUGAGUCGUGAAAACACCCUCUUAAUUGUGCUGGCUAAAAGCUCAGUGCGAUCACUCGUUUGUGGUUUAUUAAGUGAAACCUGCAAAGCUCAGCUAGGGAAUCUGUCACACUCGAUUCUCCUCCAAGUCCUUCUCGGGUAGACAAUAGCGGGGCUCGUGUGGCAGAGUGGGGACAAUCCUUUAACAAGAAAGGUGGAUAGAAAGGAGCGGUCGUCUAGCAAAAGGGUUGAAAUCCCCCUCUGCUCUUCCAGUCUUUCCAACCGGGGUCUCCAGCUCAGUCUGAUGGUUGGCUCCAAGCAACCACAUCUGCAUUGAUCAGUUGCUGGCAGAGCCUCCCAAGGAACAGCCACACCAGGUUCCUGUCAGCAAGCAACUCUUGGCAACAGCAACAGUGUGAGGGUUUGGUGUCUGCAGACAGGAUGGAUCCCCAGUUCUUGGUUUCCUGUGUUCAAAUGAAAAUGUGAUUGGCCAGUUUCCUCCUCAACGCUGCAAUGAAACCCGAUGGUGUCUACAGCUUUCUACUGUCCUGUGGUCCACGAAGGUUGUAGACCGGCUGCCACUAUCAUUCCUGGAGAAAAGAUAAGGACCAACUCUGAGGAGACGUUAGGAGUAUGAGGCGGUGACACCGAGAGGUAGCUCUCUGUGGGGAAAGACACUUUGAAACACUUUCACACACCAAGGCUCCUUCCUGACAUCGAGUUGAAAUCACUUUAGCAUGGAUAAUUUUUAAAUGAAAUAGUUUCUGAGGGCGGAAAAGAGCCAUAUUGGAUUUUAUCUGGUUAUUACAUUCAAAAAAUGUCUUGUAUCAAGAAAGUGGAUAUUGUCCCAGCAUUAUUAAAAUAUUCUAUUUAGAAAAAUGACAUUGUUACUCAUUCGAAACAGAUGUUGGUCUAGAUAAAGGGAAAUGCCUUCACAGGUCUCAAACACAAGCACGCGGGAUUACAGACAAGGAAUUACAGCUCAAGCAGGAGCACUGCCUCUGCUCCCCUGCAGUGUUUGGGUGACUUGCUGCUGUCUGACAAAGUACCCCAAAACUUUAUGGCUUAAAAUAAGGACUGGAAAGUUUUUCUUGCAAAGUAGAUUCUUUUAAACUCUCUGCGGCACCUGCUCAAUGCAGCUGUUGUAAGUCAAAAGCAGUCAAAGACAGUCUGUAUAAACAGGGGGGCAGCCCUCUCCUCUACAAAAAAGAGGCAUGUGGGCUAUAGUUUCCUAGCUUCUGGUUUAUAAAAGCUCAUAGUUCUGCAGGUUGGUAUUGGGUCAGGGCAUCUAGCUUCUUGUCAUUGUGUGGGUUAAUGGAUGUGUAUGCCUUGAGGUAGCAAGCAGGAAGAAAGACCAGCUCGUAUUGAUCUCCACCACGAGUCUAGCAAUGGACUGGACUGUUGGCUGUGUGCCUCAGUGUGCUUUCACGAACCUCUGUCAUUGGCUAAUUUAGGGUUUUCUCCAUAGGAACUAGAUUUCUGGGAGUCAAAAGCAAAAGCUUCAAGAGCUCUUUAAGAUUUGGCUAAUGCCAUGAUGCCAUGAUGCCAUUUUCAAUUUUGUUAGGAUCAUAAAACCAUCUAUUCUAACAUGGAGAGC